This 230-nucleotide long non-coding RNA is filed under the name Physcomitrium patens. RNAcentral's name for it is "long non-coding RNA (PPAT_LNC014596)". Lineage: Eukaryota; Viridiplantae; Streptophyta; Bryopsida; Funariales; Funariaceae. The record is from RNAcentral.
AAGAAAAACAGAGUAAAUGACUAUUUUAAUUUGCUUUCAUUAACUCCAUGUCUUAUGUGUUAAUUCCAUCCUCUUAUUAGAUACAAUCUCAAUUCUCUUUUGCAAGCUAAAAUGUUAAUCCCUUUUUGCAUUUCAUCUUCUUUUUUCUUCUCUUUGCUUUUUCUUUUAUUUUUCAUUAGUGAAAGUUUUAUGUCUCAAUAGUUAAAUUUGAACCUCCAAAUAUUGUGGAG